GUGGGGAAUCUUCCGCAAUGGACGAAAGUCUGACGGAGCAACGCCGCGUGAGUGAUGAAGGUCUUCGGAUUGUAAAGCUCUGUUAAUCGGGACGAAAGAGCCUAGUGUGAAUAAUGCUAGGAAGUGACGGUACCGGAAUAGAAAGCCACGGCUAACUACGUGCCAGCAGCCGCGGUAAUACGUAGGUGGCAAGCGUUGUCCGGAAUUAUUGGGCGUAAAGCGCGCGCAGGCGGAUCUGCCAGUCUGUCUUAAAAGUUCGGGGCUUAACCCCGUGAUGGGAUGGAAACUACAGAUCUAGAGUAUCGGAGAGUAAAGUGGAAUUCCUAGUGUAGCGGUGAAAUGCGUAGAUAUUAGUAAGAACACCAGUGGCGAAGGCGACUUUCUGGACGAAAACUGACGCUGAGGCGCGAAAGCCAGGGGAGCGAACGGGAUUAGAAACCCGGGUAGUCC
RNAcentral lists this ribosomal RNA (450 nucleotides) under uncultured bacterium. RNAcentral describes it as "partial 16S ribosomal RNA". It matches the Rfam family "Bacterial small subunit ribosomal RNA", at positions 354 to 796 of the family's 1533-position model. The record is from RNAcentral.